AACUUACUUACAGUUUAGCAAUACUCCUUUCAUAAAUUAGGAAAAUCAAUAAAUCUGAUUUGUUGAUAAUUUAUACCAGACAUGCAGACAUGUUCGGGAUAUUUUGUUUAACAGGUUUGUUGGUUUUAGUCAGUGCAUGUGACGAUGCUUGUACGGAUCAUGAAUGUAACGGUGUAGGUACAUGUAAAUUAAAAUAUCAUCAUACAGACUGUAUAGAACCACCAUGUUUACAAGGCACCGUUUCUGCUACUUGUCUGAAUCUUGGAAAAGAUCCUGUAAAUCCCUGUAAAUAUGGUACAGCUUUUAUUGAUGACAAUAACCAACAUCUGAACUGUAGUCAGAAAGAUUUUGAAUGUCCGCACGGUUCUGUAUGUGAAACAGAUCCAACUAUAAACUGGGCAUUAUGCUGCUCCCGAUGUUAUAAUCCUGGAAACUGUCCAGUUGUAAAGCAGAAACAUACAGUUAGUUCACUCUGCAUUGAAGAAUGUGAGUUAGAUGGCGACUGUGGAGCAGUGAAGAAAUGUUGUUUCAAUGGAUGUGGACAAACCUGUGUAUACCCAAAUUUCACAAAAGGAAAAUAACUUGAAAAUAUCUUUAAUAUUUUUAAUGAAAUAAAUAUUUCAGUUGAUCUGUAA
Patella vulgata (common limpet) is the source of this 635-nucleotide long non-coding RNA. RefSeq lists it as uncharacterized. The record is from RefSeq and is a predicted model, not a curated record. The transcript is spliced from 5 exons. NCBI's taxonomy places the organism in Eukaryota, Metazoa, Mollusca, Gastropoda, Patellidae.